This is a long non-coding RNA of Perca flavescens (yellow perch), 443 nucleotides long. RefSeq lists it as uncharacterized. The record is from RefSeq and is a predicted model, not a curated record. Lineage: Eukaryota; Metazoa; Chordata; Actinopteri; Perciformes; Percidae. The transcript has 3 exons.
AGGGCACGCUUCUGUUCCAGCACACUCUGUAGCAUAUUAACUGUACUGUUCCACCUGGGUUGCUGUCGUUGCAAUGUCACUGUUACAGACAGCUGAGUAAGUGGCGCCGGAGUUGCUACACGACCCCGCUCUCUCUCUGCCUUAGCGCUAGCUAACUUGGAAAACUCCUCCUACUCCUUUCCGUGACUAACCUUCAAAUGUCUGAUGAGGACGAGAACAUCACUGCAGCUAGAACAGCAGCCCUGGCCGGCCUAACGCUGUUCUUAAAGGAGGAUUCAUCAGAGGGCUUCAAAACUUGCAAGACAUUUUUGUAUUGUUUCCAUAGCUCAAUACCUGUAUCUAUUUUGCAAAAGGAAAUCACUGAUAUAAACAUAAAAAUUUGAAACUGCCUUCUGCUGUGUACCCUGUUGGCGGCCUUUAGAGCAGUUGUCAAUGUUAACAAA